RNAcentral lists this long non-coding RNA (1505 nucleotides) under Homo sapiens (human). RNAcentral's name for it is "long intergenic non-protein coding RNA 658". Lineage: Eukaryota; Metazoa; Chordata; Mammalia; Primates; Hominidae. The record is from RNAcentral.
ACCGCUCUCCAAGGACUCUCGAGCAGCUCCAUCUACAGAUUCACAUGGAGAAGAAUUAAGGGUUCCUGCCAAUCACCAGCACCACUUUGCCAGCCUUGUAAGUGGGCCACCUUGGAAUUGGAGCCUCCAGUUCCUACUGACAUCUGACUGCAACAUCAUGAGAGACCCUGAGUUUGAACCACCCAGCUGAGCUGCUUCUGAGCUAACCCACUGAAACCGUGAAAGUACCUGAAUGAAACAACACCCAGUAGCCACUAGCACACCUAGCUCCCAGAUCUGUUUUUGAUGCCAUUCUUCAGUAAAAGGAAGCAAGGCUGCUUGGAGAAAUUGCUAUCAAGGACUGGGGUAGAAAAUAUACAAGAUGAAAUUGGAGCAUCUUGUAGUGCUUGAAAACAGUUGGCAUCUGUGUGAAGAUGUGAAUGGAGGAGGCAGAGUAGGCAGUGAGUGCCGCAGCCACAGCUUGUGUUCUCUGCAGCCCUGGCACAGAAGAUAGGAACACUCAUGGGGGAUGCGGCCACUGUGAUGUCUUCCCACACAAGAAGUGCCAAGUGCUUUUCUCAUGCUUUUCUGGAUUGUCCCAUGGUGGACGAGUCAGCAGGAGUGAGAUGGAGCAGCACAGUAGAGGGCACCUGCUCUGUUUUGUCCCAGGCCAGGAUAUCGUUGUACAUAUUCUCAGCUAAGUGAGCACCAAUAGAGGAGAGGGAGAGUCUCAUGGAAGUUCCUUCUAAGCCUUUGGCUCUUUUUACCUUCAACAAGGUGUGCCACCUCUUUGAUCCAGCAAGUGGGAAGAACAGUCCCGGCCUCUUUGCACACAAGACCGUGAUACCAAUGCACCAUCACAGGCCCCACAGGGGAGCUGUCCGCUUCCCCACACAGCUGCUAGGGGCUCUUUUGCAUGUUCCCAACCUUUCCUGCCUUUAUCUGAUAUUCGUUCCUUAGAUCCUGGGAUGAGGAGGUGGACCAGCAGAAGGUGGGCUUGUGAAGGCAGCCCGGGGUCCAAAUCCUCCUGGCUCUUCAGCUUAGCGGGGUUGCUUAGACUCAGUGGUGUGCUGGAGCAGGCUCCUACCAGCUAGAAAGAACCAGUUCAAUACGUCUCUUCUCAACUCCAUGUUCAGAGUUGUCAGAGAACCAAUUGUUAAAUAUUUACUGGCACUCCACUGCUUAGAUUUUACCAGUGCUUGCAGUGCUAACCAGGAGCUCAUCCCUGGAGGAGAGGCAGAGAAUGUGUACUCCCAGAUGCAGCCAGCUUCCAGAAGAAGAGGUAGGAGCCAAGCAGAGCAUGCCCACAUCAAUCUUCCAGCAUUUAAUGGCCAUAGAAGUUACUGAACCUCCCUUGGAUGGAUAGAAGAUGGCAUUAUCUUUCUUAAAUAUGAUACCUCUUAUCUUUUUGUUCCCUUGACACUUGAGGAGGGAGGCCAAGGGUUGAUCAUGCAAGCAAGUUUGUGCAUUUUGCACAUUUAUUAAGUUAUGCUUUUGAGGAAAUUAAAAGAUCACAAGGGCUUCAA